RNAcentral lists this ribosomal RNA (119 nucleotides) under Pogona vitticeps (central bearded dragon). The record is from RNAcentral. Lineage: Eukaryota; Metazoa; Chordata; Lepidosauria; Squamata; Agamidae.
UCUGUAUUGUCAUGCCAUCGAAAGCCUACCAGUCUUGUCUGAGUUUAGAAGCUAAGCAUGGCAGAGUCUGGUUAGUACUUGGAUGGGAAGCCAUCAGGGAUUACCAGGGGUCUUCAGGU